CUAACCGCGUACAAAAUGGCGCAAUAUGUCAGGAAUUUGUCAUGUAUCAAGUUAUAUUUUCUUUUGUAUAAUAAUUACAUUCGUUUAGUUAAGCAACUUGUUUAUAGUGAUAAUUGUAGAAAAGUGUAGAAAAAUGACACCUGCAUUAUAUCCUGGGGUGAAGAAACGUUAUUUUAUGUCGAUUUCUUUAGAUGACAAAGGAGGUAACCAAAUAGCAUAUAUUACAAAAUCUGAGGACAAUAAUAAGGAUCGUUUAGCAAGGUUAAAAUAAUUAUUUUACCACAUUAGGACAUUAACAUAUCCAUGUGUUUGACAUAACCUCACUUCUUAAAUCUCUUAAAUUAGUCGGUGGAGAAGUGGCUCGAGGAUGAUUGUCUGAAUAUAAGUCGUACAAAAUUGGAAUGAAACGGUGAACAAUAUACAGAUCUUUAGACAGGCUUAAAUAAUGUAUGUGUAGGAGCAACUUCAAGAUGAUGGAGAUUUAUCUUCUUAAUAUAAAACCUCUAAAAUUGGGAACAGUAUGUCAUAUAUGCAUGAACUUGAUGUACCCUAGCAAUUGAUGUAUAAUGAACUGGAGAUAGAAUGAAUUCAAUCAGGUUAAAAAAAAUGUAUGUGCAAAAGCGACUCGAAGACGAUUUAGAUUUGUCUCCUGAAUAUAAAACUUCCAAGAAGUACAUCAUAUAUGAAUAUCCU
Molecule: long non-coding RNA, 693 nt
Organism: Ctenocephalides felis (cat flea)
Lineage: Eukaryota; Metazoa; Arthropoda; Insecta; Siphonaptera; Pulicidae
Exons: 5
Source: RefSeq, a predicted model, not a curated record